RNAcentral lists this ribosomal RNA (492 nucleotides) under uncultured bacterium. RNAcentral's name for it is "partial 16S ribosomal RNA". It matches the Rfam family "Bacterial small subunit ribosomal RNA", at positions 29 to 507 of the family's 1533-position model. The record is from RNAcentral.
AGUGAACGCUGGCGGUAGGCCUAACACAUGCCAGUCGAACGGCAGCACAGUAAGGCUUUGCUCUUGGGGGUGGCGGGUGGGGGGGGGGUGAAAAAUACAGCAACAUCCCCUUUUUCGGGGGGGAUCGCGGGGAAACUCUUACGAUAACCCCACAUACCACCCGGGGGUAAAAGGGGGGGCUCAUCACCCCUUGCGCUGGUGAAUGCGCCGAUGUCGUAUUAGCUAGUGGGGGGGGUGGGGGCCCACCAAGGCGACGAUCCGUAGCUGGUCUGAGAGGAUGAUCAGCCACACUGGAACUGAGACACGGUCCAGACUCCUACGGGAGGCAGCAGUGGGGAAUAUUGGACAAUGGGCGCAAGCCUGAUCCAGCCAUACCGCGUGGGUGAAGAAGGCCUUCGGGUUGUAAAGCCCUUUUGUUGGGAAAGAAAUGCUUCAGGCUAAUACCCUGGGAGGAUGACGGUACCCAAAGAAUAAGCACCGGCUAACUUCGUG